This 560-nucleotide precursor RNA is filed under the name Danio rerio (zebrafish). RNAcentral describes it as "partial precursor microRNA 196b". The stretch from base 216 to 292 matches the Rfam family "mir-196 microRNA precursor family". The record is from RNAcentral. Lineage: Eukaryota; Metazoa; Chordata; Actinopteri; Cypriniformes; Danionidae.
GUAUCUCUUUGCCCCGCUGUGGGUCAGAAAUGUUUCAGCUGACUUUUUGAGAUUUUAGCUCCAGUGCCCUUUAGUACGGUUCCUCAGUUAAACGGUGCUCUGUGAAAGGACAUAGCACUGAAAUAUGAGUGCUCAUCUGGUUCAGUACUUUUGGACGCUAGACUGCUGGCAGCCUUUCAGGGUCUUGCCUUUGAACACGGAGAAAACCAAGCUGGUCUGUGAUUUAGGUAGUUUCAAGUUGUUGGGCUGGACGUUUAAUUUCACAGGAACCUGAAACUGCCUGAAUUGCUCCAGUUAAACGCAACAUUGUCCGUUCGACUUGGAAUAAGGAUAUACACUGUCGCGUUGAUUGAAAACAUUGAUUUAAUAAUGUUGGGAAUUUGCCAUUUUUACAAAUAUGACUGUUACUUCAUCCAAUAUAUCGUGUUUUUGAUAUUUUUUACUGAUUAUACUUCUUCCACAUUUAAUAUUUGUAAUUUAUAUUUGUAACUAAUGUCCAUAUGUUUUAAAGAUGAAUACUUGACCCACCAUUUCUUCAAUACUUUCCCAUCGUUUUUCCA